RNAcentral lists this ribosomal RNA (417 nucleotides) under uncultured bacterium. RNAcentral describes it as "bacterial SSU rRNA". It matches the Rfam family "Bacterial small subunit ribosomal RNA", at positions 83 to 507 of the family's 1533-position model. The record is from RNAcentral.
UGACGUGAGUGGACAGCGGACGAAGGAGAGUAACGUCGUAGGAACGUACCCUCAGGUCUGGGAUAGCUGCGGGAAACUGCAGGUAAUACCAGAUAAUGUCCCUGGACCAAAGGUGAGAUUCCUCCUGAGGAGCGGUCCGCGUCCUAUUAGCUUGUUGGUGGGGUAACGGCCUACCAAGGCGAUGAUGGGUAUCGGGGUGUGAGAGCAUGGCCCGGCUCACUGGGACUGAGACACUGCCCAGACACCUACGGGUGGCUGCAGUCGAGAAUCUUCCGCAAUGGGCGCAAGCCUGACGGAGCGACGCCGCGUGCGGGAUGAAGGCCUUCGGGUUGUAAACCGCUGUCAGAGGGGAGUAAGUGAAGGGGGUCAUCUCCUGGAUCUGAACUAUCCUCAGAGGAAGGACGGGCUAAGUUCGUG